AGAACGAACGCUGGCGGCAGGCCUCAAACAUGCAAGUCUAGGGGGCGUAGCAAUACGUCACCGGCGGACGGGUGCGUAACACGUGGGAAUGUACUUAUUGGUUCGGAACAACUCAGGGAAACUUGAGCUAAUACCGAAUGUGCCCGAAAGGGGAAAGAUUUAUCGCCAAUAAAUCAGCCCGCGUCCGAUUAGCUAGUUGGUGGGGUAAAGGCCCACCAAGGCGACGAUCGGUAGCUGUUCUGAGAGGAAGAUCAGCCACACUGGGACUGAGACACGGCCCAGACUCCUACGGGAGGCAGCAGUUGGGAAUCUUGGACAAUGGGGAAACCCUGAUCCAGCCAUGCCGCGUGAGUGAUGAAGGCCUUCGGGUUGUAAAACUCUUUCGACGGGGACGAUAAUGACGGUACCCGUAGAAGAAGCUCCGGCUAACUUCGUGCCAGCAGCCGC
Molecule: ribosomal RNA, 447 nt
Filed under: uncultured bacterium
Lineage: Bacteria
Description: SSU rRNA
Rfam family: Bacterial small subunit ribosomal RNA
Source: RNAcentral